Molecule: long non-coding RNA, 422 nt
Organism: Ictalurus punctatus (channel catfish)
Lineage: Eukaryota; Metazoa; Chordata; Actinopteri; Siluriformes; Ictaluridae
Source: Ensembl
AGAGUAAAGGGGAUAUGGAAGAGAGCCUUUAUGGAAAGUAUGCGCAUGGCUCCUCUUCUACUCACGUCUUUACCACAGUGGUUCCUGCAACAGAUUUUUCUCGCUCUCCCCCACUCACUCUCACUUUCUUUUUUUUCUCUUUUUUUAGAGGCAAAUUACCUAUCCAGCACUUUCUUGGGCCCUCAAUAAAACAUCUGUGGAGGUGGGAGCAGGAAGAGCAGAGCCUGGAGCAUACAGUAGUGCACUUCACUGAGAUACUCGGCAGCUACAUGAUUUUCCCAUGGUUCUGUACUCCAGUACAAAGGUUAGCCACAUCUCCAGAGACCUAUAUGACCUUGGGCAAGCUCAGCUACCUCCUCUCCAUGCUAUCCAGGGGGCAUACUGUCUGCAGGCAGCACAGCUGCAUAAGUAUCCUUUGUGUG